CUACGGGUUGCUCCAGUGGGGAAUAUUGCACAAUGGAGGAAACUCUGAUGCAGCAACGCCGCGUGGAGGAUGACACUUUUUGGAGCGUAAACUCCUUUUAUAUAGGAAGAUAAUGACGGUACUAUAUGAAUAAGCACCGGCUAACUCCGUGCCAGCAGCCGCGGUAAUACGGAGGGUGCAAGCGUUACUCGGAAUCACUGGGCGUAAAGAGCGUGUAGGCGGGUUAAUAAGUCAGAAGUGAAAUCCUAUGGCUCAACCAUAGAACUGCUUUUGAAACUGUUAACCUAGAGUGUGGGAGAGGUAGGUGGAAUUUCUGGUGUAGGGGUAAAAUCCGUAGAGAUCAGAAGGAAUACCGAUUGCGAAGGCGAUCUACUGGAACAUAACUGACGCUGAGACGCGAAAGCGUGGGGAGCAAACAGGAUUAGAUACCCUCGUAGUC
RNAcentral lists this ribosomal RNA (439 nucleotides) under uncultured bacterium. Its description in RNAcentral is "partial 16S ribosomal RNA". It matches the Rfam family "Bacterial small subunit ribosomal RNA", at positions 339 to 795 of the family's 1533-position model. The record is from RNAcentral.